Molecule: ribosomal RNA, 662 nt
Filed under: Salmonella enterica subsp. enterica serovar Derby
Lineage: Bacteria; Pseudomonadati; Pseudomonadota; Gammaproteobacteria; Enterobacterales; Enterobacteriaceae
Also listed under: 1 other name
Description: partial 23S ribosomal RNA
Rfam family: Bacterial large subunit ribosomal RNA
Source: RNAcentral
AGACCCGAAACCCGGUGAUCUAGCCAUGGGCAGGUUGAAGGUUGGGUAACACUAACUGGAGGACCGAACCGACUAAUGUUGAAAAAUUAGCGGAUGACCUGUGGCUGGGGGUGAAAGGCCAAUCAAACCGGGAGAUAGCUGGUUCUCCCCGAAAGCUAUUUAGGUAGCGCCUCGUGAAUUCAUCUCCGGGGGUAGAGCACUGUUUCGGCUAGGGGGCCAUCCCGGCUUACCAACCCGAUGCAAACUGCGAAUACCGGAGAAUGUUAUCACGGGAGACACACGGCGGGUGCUAACGUCCGUCGUGAAGAGGGAAACAACCCAGACCGCCAGCUAAGGUCCCAAAGUCAUGGUUAAGUGGGAAACGAUGUGGGAAGGCCCAGACAGCCAGGAUGUUGGCUUAGAAGCAGCCAUCAUUUAAAGAAAGCGUAAUAGCUCACUGGUCGAGUCGGCCUGCGCGGAAGAUGUAACGGGGCUAAACCAUGCACCGAAGCUGCGGCAGCGAACGUAUCACUUAAAGCGAUUCAGCGGGUUACGAUUGACGGAGCGAAGCGACGUCAAAGCGUAUACAAAGUCGAGUCGGUUUAAGGAUACGUUCGUUGGGUAGGGGAGCGUUCUGUAAGCCUGUGAAGGUGGCCUGUGAGGGUUGCUGGAGGUAUCAGAAG